AGACAAUUCUCUCUUCGUCUUUUUCGUCAUCUUCGUCGCCUUCAAUUCUGGUGAGUAUGGUUAAAACUCAAGUGUUUUGAGAAAGAAGAUGUCUAAAGAUAGUUGGACGGAUGAUGAAACUCGAUUAUUCUUUCAACUUUAUGCGGAUGAGAGAAAAAAAGGAAAUAGAACAAGUGUAGGAAUGAAUCAAACUGGAAAAGAUACCAUCAUGAAGAAGUUUGAAGAGAAAUGAGGGGAUUUAACAAAUGGAUCCCUCAUUUUAAGAAUAAGUAUGAUUCGUGUAAGAAAAAGUACGCCACCUUUAGAACGUUAACUCAUAAUAGGCCUGAGGCUCGGUAUGAUGAUAUGGGAAGGUUGGAGAUGUCAGAUGAUUGGUGGAAGCAACGGAUAGAGGACAGUACUCCCAGAAAGUCAAAACCAAGAGAGAGGCAUGAUGACAUCUUUAGAAUACUAAAUCUCUUUAUGACUCAAAAACUGAUAUCUCUAAAAUUGCAGGGAGACAUAUCGUUAAAAGGGACAAAAAUAGCCAAACCAUCUCUCCAGUAUUUUUUGGUCGCGAAUCCAUUUUAAAGUUCGAGCUCCUUUUUUCUCUAAAGCCUCAAGUUAAUAUAACGUAGAUUAUUUAAUUAUUAUGUUCCUAUAUAUAAUAGCAAACCCAUUUUUGAGAAACUGCUGACAUCAUCUUUUUAAUCCAACGGAUGAGAUUAUUUUA
Molecule: non-coding RNA, 712 nt
Organism: Camelina sativa (false flax)
Lineage: Eukaryota; Viridiplantae; Streptophyta; Magnoliopsida; Brassicales; Brassicaceae
Source: RefSeq, a predicted model, not a curated record